GAUGAACGCUAGCUACAGGCUUAACACAUGCAAGUCGAGGGGAAACGACAUCGAAAGCUUGCUUUUGAUGGGCGUCGACCGGCGCACGGGUGAGUAACGCGUAUCCAACCUGCCCAUCACUUGGGAAUAACCUUGCGAAAGUAAGACUAAUACCCAAUGACAUCCCACGAAGACAUCUGAAUGGGAUUAAAGAUUUAUCGGUGAUGGAUGGGGAUGCGUCUGAUUAGCUUGUUGGCGGGGUAACGGCCCACCAAGGCAACGAUCAGUAGGGGUUCUGAGAGGAAGGCCCCCCACAUUGGAACUGAGACACGGUCCACACUCCUACGGGAGGCAGCAGUGAGGAAUAUUGGUCAAUGGGCGAGAGCCUGAACCAGCCAAGUAGCGUGCAGGAUGACGGCCCUAUGGGUUGUAAACUGCUUUUAUAAGGGAAUAAAGUGGGUCUCGUGAGACUUUUUUCAUGUACCUUAUGAAUAAGGACCGGCUAAUUCCGUG
This 492-nucleotide ribosomal RNA is filed under the name uncultured bacterium. RNAcentral's name for it is "partial 16S ribosomal RNA". It matches the Rfam family "Bacterial small subunit ribosomal RNA", at positions 28 to 507 of the family's 1533-position model. The record is from RNAcentral.